CAGUCGAGCGGUAGAGAGAAGCUUGCUUCUCUUGAGAGCGGCGGACGGGUGAGUAAUGCCUAGGAAUCUGCCUGGUAGUGGGGGAUAACGUUCGGAAACGGACGCUAAUACCGCAUACGUCCUACGGGAGAAAGCAGGGGACCUUCGGGCCUUGCGCUAUCAGAUGAGCCUAGGUCGGAUUAGCUAGUUGGUGAGGUAAUGGCUCACCAAGGCGACGAUCCGUAACUGGUCUGAGAGGAUGAUCAGUCACACUGGAACUGAGACACGGUCCAGACUCCUACGGGAGGCAGCAGUGGGGAAUAUUGGACAAUGGGCGAAAGCCUGAUCCAGCCAUGCCGCGUGUGUGAAGAAGGUCUUCGGAUUGUAAAGCACUUUAAGUUGGGAGGAAGGGCAGUUACCUAAUACGUGAUUGUUUUGACGUUACCGACAGAAUAAGCACCGGCUAACUCUGUGCCAGCAGCCGCGGUAAUACAGAGGGUGCAAGCGUUAAUCGGAAUUACUGGGCGUAAAGCGCGCGUAGGUGGUUAGUUAAGUUGGAUGUGAAAUCCCCGGGCUCAACCUGGGAACUGCAUUCAAAACUGACUGACUAGAGUAUGGUAGAGGGUGGUGGAAUUUCCUGUGUAGCGGUGAAAUGCGUAGAUAUAGGAAGGAACACCAGUGGCGAAGGCGACCACCUGGACUGAUACUGACACUGAGGUGCGAAAGCGUGGGGAGCAAACAGGAUUAGAUACCCUGGUAGUCCACGCCGUAAACGAUGUCAACUAGCCGUUGGGAGCCUUGAGCUCUUAGUGGCGCAGCUAACGCAUUAAGUUGACCGCCUGGGGAGUACG
Molecule: ribosomal RNA, 830 nt
Filed under: Pseudomonadaceae bacterium
Lineage: Bacteria; Pseudomonadati; Pseudomonadota; Gammaproteobacteria; Pseudomonadales; Pseudomonadaceae
Description: bacterial SSU rRNA
Rfam family: Bacterial small subunit ribosomal RNA
Source: RNAcentral